UUAAUUAUUUGAUUUCCUUUAAGAAUGCAUACAAUUCCAUGUUUUCUGAAUCAAUUUCUUUUGAAGCUUUUAUUGUCUGAUUGAAACUUUAAACUUCUUAAAAGAUUCGUCGUUGAUUUCAUUAUAGUGUUUAUUUAUUGUCUAUCUAAAAUGUAAUUCCAAAGUUCUAGAAAGUCGGGCACGGAACUUUUAGAACUAGACAACUAUUGUCAAGCAAUGGGCAUGGGAAUAGUUGUAAUGUUAGUAGGAUACCACAUAUAAGGCUCCUUCUAGUCCAUUCUGUUCGUAAGUUCUUGUGAUAUGACAAUGCACAAUAUUUUGCUUUUUACUUACAUGAGGCCCUACAAUAUUACAUAGCUUGGUUGGUUUGUCUUUUUUUUCCCUUAAUGGGGAUGGGGUGGGAUGCGGUGGGGUGAGGGCUGUGGUGUAGUACUCUUGUUUUAAUUCAAUAUUGUUUCAAAGUUAAAUUUAAAAUCUGUAAGGUCAUGUGAUUUCUGAUAUUACUGUUAGCCGCUCAGCGUGCAGUGUCUCAACACUCAAUA
This is a non-coding RNA of Arachis ipaensis, 542 nucleotides long. NCBI's taxonomy places the organism in Eukaryota, Viridiplantae, Streptophyta, Magnoliopsida, Fabales, Fabaceae. The record is from RefSeq and is a predicted model, not a curated record.